AACGAACGCUGGCGGCAUGCCUAACACAUGCAAGUCGAACGAGACCUUCGGGUCUAGUGGCGCACGGGUGCGUAACGCGUGGGAACCUGCCCUUAGGUUCGGAAUAACUCCCCGAAAGGGGUGCUAAUACCGGAUAAUGUCUUCGGACCAAAGAUUUAUCGCCUUUGGAUGGGCCCGCGUUUGAUUAGCUAGUUGGUAGGGUAAAAGCCUGCCAAGGCGACGAUCCAUAGCUGGUCUGAGAGGAGGAUCAGCCACACUGGGACUGAGACACGGCCCAGACUCCUACGGGAGGCAGCAGUGGGGAAUAUUGGACAAUGGGCGAAAGCCUGAUCCAGCAAUGCCGCGUGAGUGAUGAAGGCCUUAGGGUUGUAAAGCUCUUUUACCCGGGAUGAUAAUGACAGUACCGGGAGAAUAAGCUCCGGCUAACUCCGUG
Molecule: ribosomal RNA, 433 nt
Filed under: uncultured bacterium
Lineage: Bacteria
Description: partial 16S ribosomal RNA
Rfam family: Bacterial small subunit ribosomal RNA
Source: RNAcentral